UUGAUACAAAAUUCUUUAUACUAUCUACAAUAAGAUCAAUAUUUCUGAUCGAAAAUUUUAGCACUAUAUCACUACUUUUUAUAGGAUUUUUACUUUCAGUCGUUAAAAACUAUUGAUUUUGAAUCCUUUCAAUUGAUAGAUAAAUAAUAUCAAAAAAUCGCAAAAAUUAUUUUCUAGAAACUUCAAAUACGCUAGAUCAUGUCUAACGGAGCUGAUCGUCGAUUCGAAAAUUCCAUCAUCGAAAACGGCUUAGGAGCACGAAGGCCUCUGUGCUCCUAAGAGCACAGCAGCCCUACUCUAUAUAUAUAUAUAGAGAGAGAGAGAGAAAGAGAGAGAGAGAGAGAGAGGGAGCUAGGCUGGUAUACUAUCGAUAGCACGGAGGCCUCCGUGCUACCAAGUUGUUUUCGAUGAUGUGGCUUUCAAAUCGACGAUCGGCUCCGUUAUACUCGAUCUACACUAUUGAAAGUAUUUGAAAACUAAAUUUUAUAAUUUUUCGGUAUCAUUUACCUGUCAAACGAAUUGUCUUAAAAUGAGCGGCUGAAAAUAAAAAUCUCAUAAAAAUUAAUGAUAAAAGACUUGAAUUUAAGAUCAGAGGUACUGAUCUUACUCUAAAUAUUUUAAAAAAAUUUCUAUAAAAAUUUCACCAGAUUUGGAUUGUUGUACACUAUUAAAUUCACAAACGCAUCACAUCUACCAUUAAAAUUGUCAAUUUUGAGACCUUUUGAUCAUUAGCCAAAUGAUGUCGAAAAAUUAUAAAAUUUAGUUACCAAAUACUUUUAAUAGUAUAGAUCAAGUCUAACGGAGCCGAUCGUCGAUUUAGAAGCCGCAUCAUUGAAAAUAACUUGGUAGCACGGAGGCCUCCGUAUAUGAGUCCGACUGGGAUACUAUAGAUAGUACCAAGGACUUUGUGCUAUUUAGUUUUCCACCGUUAGAUUUAACCCUUUGAUUAUUUAUAUCCGUUAGAUUAUAUUAUUCAACCAACCGCCCACUCAACCUUAGGGGGCCCAUAUCAUCCUAAUUAACCGCACAUUUCUCAAUCCAAUGGCUAAAAAACUAAUAGCACCAAUAGCUUGGUAAGCACGAAGACCUCCGUGCUCCUGAGAGCACAGCAGCCCUACUCUCUCUCUCUCUCUCUCUCUCUCUCUCUCUCUCUCUCUCUCUCUAUAUAUAUAUAUAUAUAUAUAUAUAUAUAUAUAGAGUUGAGCUAUGAUACUUUUACAAGUAUCACCAUUAUGGUGCUAUUAGGUUUUAAGCCAUUGGAUCUACUUUUUGAUUAUUAAUAGUCCUUGGAUUAAACAUUAAUCCACUUACCACCACCUACCACCGUCAUCUCAACCUCACAUUUCUCUAUCCAAGGGCUAAAAACACACAAGUAUCACCCCCCUGAUAUUUUUACAAGUAUCCUAGCCCUAUUCUAUAUAUAUAUAUAUAU
Molecule: long non-coding RNA, 1432 nt
Filed under: Ananas comosus (pineapple)
Lineage: Eukaryota; Viridiplantae; Streptophyta; Magnoliopsida; Poales; Bromeliaceae
Description: long non-coding RNA (ACOM_LNC040537)
Source: RNAcentral